Molecule: long non-coding RNA, 1110 nt
Filed under: Homo sapiens (human)
Lineage: Eukaryota; Metazoa; Chordata; Mammalia; Primates; Hominidae
Description: non-protein coding FOXD3-AS1:22
Source: RNAcentral
AGACAGGGACUGGGCGACCUAGAACGAGGUUCCCAUAUCGUGUUUUAAAAAGCAAAACUUAGUCUCUGUUUUGCUUUUUGUUUCAUUGUUUUUAGCUUUAAAGAGUAAGAGCAGCGCACCCGGCUCCCUCCUGCUAAUUAGAUUUCAGAUUCCCCUCUGGCCUCAGUGCUCAUUCCGGGGAAGACACCUGCUGAGAUGUCUUUUUCCCCCUCCCCCAACCAAACCACUCAGGUCCUACCUGCUCUUUCCCGGCUUGAUGCGGGCGUGUUUUCCUGUAUGUAUUUUUUCGUGCGGCCACAAAAAGCAUCAGCUGGGGUUCCCGAAGGUCAGAAAAUGGCUAUUGAUUAAUCUACUAGAAUAGUUGCCGAGAGAAAUAAAAACGACGUAAAAUAGCAGGGAACCUAUAAAUAAAGAAGCCAUAACUGGCUACUUGGAGUUGUUAAACGACUUAGCAUAUGAAAAAAUCGGAAAUGAGGCGCUGGGGAAGGAGCUGGGAUUGGCAGCGGCCUGGGUAAGUCGAGUGGAUCCGGGAAGAGGCCUGGUGUCUUCAGGUUAGACGCAGCGCCCAGGGGCGGCUGAAGAAACGUGAGGGGUGUGGACAAAUCCUCCAAGAUUUAACUUCCAAGAAAACCGGCGGCGGAGCGGGUGGAGGAGGCGAGGAUGUGUGGCCAAUGCACGCGGAGUGCAAGGCCGCCUAGUUGGGAGCCGCAAGAGCCUGCCUGGUGUGGCAGGCACACGGAACCCAAUCCCUGUCUGUCCGCUGCGGCCUGGGAGGGGAGCGCCGGCCUCACCAGAGGAAGGAGCACGAGGGGAGGAGUUCCGAGAGGAAAUAAUUAGUGAAAUAUUUGCAGAAGAUGCUGGGAUGUGGAUUUAAUUCCGGAUGGACAGUGGUGCUUCUGAUUCCCUCAGUCUGUUUCCCCACCCACGAUCUCCUCUUUCCUUGGCCUAGACACACCAAAAAUAAUUCAAUAAAAUAAAAAUAAAAAUUUAAAAAUCUGUAAACUUGCUUCAUUACAGGCAUUGAGACACACAGAUUGACUUUCAUCCCCAUUAGACAGUUUCCCAGGAUAUAACACUACUCAUCUGAGGCUGGGAGCAGGGUAGGGGGUG